CCUGGUGACCAUAGCGAGUUGGAACCACCCCUUCCCAUCCCGAACAGGUCCGUGAAACAACUCCGCGCCGAUGAUAGUGCGGAUUACCCGUGUGAAAGUAGGUCAUCGCCAGGC
RNAcentral lists this ribosomal RNA (114 nucleotides) under Ralstonia pickettii DTP0602. The record is from RNAcentral. Lineage: Bacteria; Pseudomonadati; Pseudomonadota; Betaproteobacteria; Burkholderiales; Burkholderiaceae.